GAUGAACGCUGGCGGCGUGCCUAAUACAUGCCAGUCGAGCGAACGGACGAGAAGCUUGCUUCUCUGAUGUUAGCGGCGGACGGGUGAGUAACACGUGGAUAACCUUCCUAUAAGACUGGGAUAACUUCGGGAAACCGGAGCUAAUACCGGAUAAUAUUUUGAACCGCAUGGUUCAAAAGUGAAAGACGGUCUUGCUGUCACUUAUAGAUGGAUCCGCGCUGCAUUAGCUAGUUGGUAAGGUAACGGCUUACCAAGGCAACGAUGCAUAGCCGACCUGAGAGGGUGAUCGGCCACACUGGAACUGAGACACGGUCCAGACUCCUACGGGAGGCAGCAGUAGGGAAUCUUCCGCAAUGGGCGAAAGCCUGACGGAGCAACGCCGCGUGAGUGAUGAAGGUCUUCGGAUCGUAAAACUCUGUUAUUAGGGAAGAACAUAUGUGUAAGUAACUGUGCACAUCUUGACGGUACCUAAUCAGAAAGCCACGGCUAACUACGUG
Molecule: ribosomal RNA, 497 nt
Filed under: uncultured bacterium
Lineage: Bacteria
Description: partial 16S ribosomal RNA
Rfam family: Bacterial small subunit ribosomal RNA
Source: RNAcentral